AUUAUUUUUAGAGCAUGAUUUAGAAAUGUUAUUAGGAGGGACUGCAAUUUCCAGAAUCCCUCAGGCAACAUAAUCAUUGUCCAGCUUGUUUGGUGUGUUUAGGGAGUUUGUAGAACAAAACAUAACUUUCCUAAACUUUGGUUUAGAGAUAGUGAAUGGUGCAAUCUCAGCCAAUAAACUCAAUGGCCACACAGGCCUCCCUACUUGACACAGAGCACUUGAUCUAUUAUAAUAUCAUGGUAAUUUCAAAUAUAUUCAAAAAUAGAACAUUACUUAAAGUGGAGGUUGAUGCAUGGGAAAUCAAAUGAUUCAAAGAAGACCUAUAAGGAAGAUAAGGGUAAGUGUGUCUGGGAUAGUAAUUAUAGACUGAACUGUAAGCCAGCUUUAAACUCCCAGUUCAAAUCUUCCCUCAGCUAUAAAACCACUGGAUGGCCUACAGUAAACCACUAUCUUUCUGCCUCAGCCACCCACCUGAACUAUGAAGAUAAGCAUGGCGGGUUGCCUUACAGCAUUAUUUUAAGGAUUACUGAGGUGCCCCAUGCCCCAUACUGUUUUCGGAAAGAUUCUUCCCGAAACGGAAACAGAACCCAGGGUUCCAAAUUAUGAAUCUGAAUGCCUGUUGUACUAGAGUCCUGAAACACCUUUUCACCACAAACCACACUCUGUCCAGGUAGAGAUGCUUUAAAAUGGCAAAUGACAAUGGAGUGGGAAUCCUAUUUGUCCAAUUGCAAUCAUGAUGAUGAUGUCUUCGUGUGAGCAGUCCUGGGAUGCCCAGUAAUGCUCCUUUGCUUCUGCUAUUACCAUUUGAACACCACAGAAGAAGGAUUGGUAAUUUAUGUUCUUACCAUUUCCUAAAUUGAACAAUUUUGAAAUUAUGCUAAUUUCUAAAGGAAGCGGAAUGGACAAAAAAUGUGUGAUGGGGAUAAGGAUAAACAUUUGUUUAAUUUCACAAUGGGGCAUCCUGAAGUACCCUAUCCCCCCACUCCUGCCUGCUUUUCUACUCUCGUGGGAUGAAGCCCUAAGUGUAUAAAAUAUGUUUCCUGGAUUUUUUUAAUAUAUCUUUAAUCGAUGGAAAAGGAACAACUUGGUGUUUUUGAUACAUGACUGAGACUUGUCCAUUAAACUCUGCCCCCCUCCCCCAUCCCAACUGACACUAGGAGGACAAUAUGCAUUUCCUGUUAUUUGUUUUAAUAAUACACUGGCACAUAUUCAAUCCAAAAAGCCAGUACAAAACCUAUAUAUACAGUAGAGUCUAACUUAUCCAACACUUGCUUAUCCAACGUUCUGGAUUAUCCAACGCAUUUUUGUAGUCAGUGUUUUCAAUACAUCAUGAUAUUUUGGUGCUAAAUUCGUAAAUACAGUAAUUACU
Anolis carolinensis (green anole) is the source of this 1369-nucleotide long non-coding RNA. RefSeq lists it as uncharacterized. Lineage: Eukaryota; Metazoa; Chordata; Lepidosauria; Squamata; Anolidae. The record is from RefSeq and is a predicted model, not a curated record. The transcript has 3 exons.